GCCUCAGCCCUCUAUAACCUCAUGCCCAACCCGGCAUGGGUUGGCUGCUUU
RNAcentral lists this small RNA (51 nucleotides) under Pseudomonas aeruginosa. Its description in RNAcentral is "unknown". Lineage: Bacteria; Pseudomonadati; Pseudomonadota; Gammaproteobacteria; Pseudomonadales; Pseudomonadaceae. The record is from RNAcentral. RNAcentral also lists the same sequence under 2 other names.